Long non-coding RNA from Gossypium raimondii (Peruvian cotton), 332 nucleotides. RefSeq lists it as uncharacterized. The transcript has 3 exons. NCBI's taxonomy places the organism in Eukaryota, Viridiplantae, Streptophyta, Magnoliopsida, Malvales, Malvaceae. The record is from RefSeq and is a predicted model, not a curated record.
GGGGAAGCCAUAGUUAGGGUUUUCAAGCUUCCAAGCUCCAUAAUCAAGAAGUACGAAACUCGAGGUUAGACAAAGGGAAGAAUAAAGUUGAAGACUAAGUUGGUGAAUUUGGCUAUAAUUGGUACCGAGUAUUGCAAAGCUACUUCAAGGAUCCUAAAGAAGUCGGAGAUCGUCCACACUAUCAACCACAACUGCUCGGUAUUUUAUAUCGAAUCACGUUUGAGUUAUGGCAUGUAUAGGGAUUUAGUUAUUUUGUAUGUUUGUGAUUAUGAUUUUGCUAAAGAAUGGUGCGUAAGUAUUUGAUGAUGUAUGGUUAUUAAAAUGGUUAAGUA